Non-coding RNA from Acanthosepion pharaonis, 115 nucleotides. The record is from the annotation of a GenBank genome assembly. NCBI's taxonomy places the organism in Eukaryota, Metazoa, Mollusca, Cephalopoda, Sepiida, Sepiidae.
CUUGUGGCCAUAUCAUGUUGAAAUACUGGAUCUCAUCUGAUCAACAAAGUUAAGCAACAUUGAACCUGGUUAAUAUCUAGAUGGGUGACCACUUGGGAAUACCAGAUGCUGUAAG